CACGUAGUUAGCCGGAGCUUCCUCCUUAGGUACUGUCUUUUAUCUUCCCUAACGACAAUAGUUUACAAUCCGAAAACCUUCUUCCUAUACGCGGCGUCACUGCGUCAGAGUUUCCUCCAUUGCGCAAUAUUCCCCGACUGCUGCCUCCCGUAGGAGUCUGGGCCGUAUCUCGGUCCCAAUGUGGCCGUUCAACCUCUCAGUCCGGCUACUGAUCGUUGCCUUGGUGUGCCAUUACCACACCAACUAGCUAAUCAGACGCAAGCUCAUCUAUUAGCGGAUUACUCCUUUCCCACUAGAACCAUGUGAUUCUUAUGGCAUAUGCGGUAUUAGCAAUGAUUUCUCACUGUUAUUCCCCUCUAAUAGGCAGAUUGCUUACGCGUUACUCACCAGUCCGCCACUAACCGCUUCUCAAUAUAAAUAUUAAGAUUAAGUCCGUUCGACUUGCAUGUCCUAUGUGCGCCGCCAGCGUUUAUCCUGAGCCAGACUCAAACUC
This 493-nucleotide ribosomal RNA is filed under the name uncultured Eubacteriales bacterium. RNAcentral describes it as "uncultured Clostridiales bacterium partial 16S ribosomal RNA". The record is from RNAcentral. Lineage: Bacteria; Bacillati; Bacillota; Clostridia; Eubacteriales.